This 1158-nucleotide ribosomal RNA is filed under the name Russula batistae. RNAcentral's name for it is "eukaryotic LSU rRNA". The stretch from base 547 to 1158 matches the Rfam family "Eukaryotic large subunit ribosomal RNA", at positions 1 to 612 of the family's 3401-position model. The record is from RNAcentral. Lineage: Eukaryota; Fungi; Basidiomycota; Agaricomycetes; Russulales; Russulaceae.
CAUUAUUGUUUAACUGAGGCAUCUAGGCUGUUGCUGACAUUUUUUGUUGUCGUGCACGCCUGGGUGCUCUCACACCAUCCAUCUCACCCUUAUGUGCACCAUCGCGUGGGCCUUCUAUGGCCUGCGUUUCACACAAACACACCCUUUAAAUGUAGAGUAGAAUGUAUUAUUAUUAUCAAUACAACUUUCAACAACGGAUCUCUUGGCUCUCGCAUCGAUGAAGAACGCAGCGAAAUGCGAUACGUAAUGUGAAUUGCAGAAUUCAGUGAAUCAUCGAAUCUUUGAACGCAACUUGCACCCCUUGGCAUUCCGAGGGGUACACCCGUUUGAGUGUCGUGACACGCUCAAAACCUUCUUGGUUUCGAUCAAGAAGGGUUUUGGAGUUUGGAGGUUUCUGCUGGCCCCCCUGUCAGCUCCUCUUAAAUGAAUUAGCAGGAUCUUGGUUUGCUGAUCCUUGACGUGAUAAUAUGUUUGUACGUCUUGGAAGGUGUUUGCUUUAUGAUCCGCUUCUAAUGGUCUCAAUCGAGAGACAGCUUCUAUUGACCUUGACCUCAAAUCGGGUGAGACUACCCGCUGAACUUAAGCAUAUCAAUAAGCGGAGGAAAAGAAACUAACAAGGAUUCCCCUAGUAACUGCGAGUGAAGCGGGAAAAGCUCAAAUUUAAAAUCUGGUGGUCUUUGGCCAUCCGAGUUGUAAUCUAGAGAAGCGUCUUCCGCGCCGAACCGUGCACAAGUCUCCUGGAAUGGAGCGUCAUAGAGGGUGAGAAUCCCGUCUUUGGCACGGAUGCGUCAGUGCUACGUGAUGCGCUCUCAAAGAGUCGAGUUGUUUGGGAAUGCAGCUCAAAAUGGGUGGUGAACUCCAUCUAAAGCUAAAUAUUGGCGAGAGACCGAUAGCGAACAAGUACCGUGAGGGAAAGAUGAAAAGCACUUUGGAAAGAGAGUGAAAGAGUACGUGAAAUUGUUGAAAGGGAAACGCUUGAAGUCAGUCGCGUCGACCGAGACUCAGCCUUGCCUUGGCUUGGUGUGCUUCUUGGGUGAUGGGUCAGCAUCAAUUUCGGGCCUCGGAUAAUGGCAAAGGGAAGGUAGCAUCCUUCGGGGUGUGUUAUAGUCUUUUGUCGGAUGCGAGGGUUGGGAUUGAGGAACUCAGCACGCGCCUCGG